RNAcentral lists this transfer RNA (73 nucleotides) under Denitrobacterium detoxificans. It matches the Rfam family "tRNA". From Rfam's summary of the family: Transfer RNA (tRNA) molecules are approximately 80 nucleotides in length. Their secondary structure includes four short double-helical elements and three loops (D, anti-codon, and T loops). Lineage: Bacteria; Bacillati; Actinomycetota; Coriobacteriia; Eggerthellales; Eggerthellaceae. The record is from Rfam by way of RNAcentral.
GCCCUCUUCGUCUAGCGGCCAAGGACACCGGCUUCUCAGGUCGGAAACGCAGAUUCGAAUUCUGCAGGGGACA